CAUUUUGUUCUUCUUUCUCCGUUUAUCUUUCUCAGCUAACAUUGCAUUGCUGUUUGUUAUUGUGAUCAAACAAAUGGAGUCAAAGAAUGUGACGUAGGAGCGUGGUUACAGUGGAGUAGUUGUACAAAUUCAUGCGGAGGGGGUAGCGCUAAAAGAUUCCGAAAAUUAUGCUGUUCGCCUAGUUAUAAAUCGUACGACCAAUGUGCCCUGAAAUGCAAUAAAACUAUAUCUUCGUUGUAGGGGAAGAGAACAUGUGGUCAAUCUUGUAUUCAUGGCAAUUUUAACAUCUCUCAAAAUAGUUGCCAGUGUAUUGGAAAUUAUACUGGAGACUGUUGUCAAACAAUGAAAGUUGAUAUAUUUACUUCUGGAUCAAAAAAUGGUAAAGCAUGGAAGAUUCCAUUGAUAAGUGUUGCUGUUAUUGCAGUAUGCGUUGGAAUUGGACUUAUUUGGUUUUUAGUUAAAAGAUAUAAGAAGAACUUAAACAAUGACAGCAUACACCCAUCAGAAGAAAUGGACAAUCAAUAAAUGAGAAAUCUUGUAAAUUCCAAACUGUGUAGUACGGCUAUACAUUAUUAUCAAGCAUUGAAAAGAAUUUGUAAA
Mytilus californianus (California mussel) is the source of this 600-nucleotide long non-coding RNA. RefSeq lists it as uncharacterized. NCBI's taxonomy places the organism in Eukaryota, Metazoa, Mollusca, Bivalvia, Mytilida, Mytilidae. The transcript has 4 exons. The record is from RefSeq and is a predicted model, not a curated record.